CUAUCGAGCCAGCCGAGCAGUGGACCUACCCCCAAAUCCUCGGUCGCUUGUCCCUUCCGAGAAGAACCGCAGAAACCUGAAAUCUACCGCCGCUCCCCCGUGAAGGCGACGCCGGGCUCGGGCGGGCGCAUCCCCGACCACACCGGCGGCAACGACCCCUACGUCCCCGGCCCCAACUCUUCUCAGAUCUAGAUCGGCGGCGACCGCCUCUUCCGGCCACACCCGCGCCACCGGAGACGCAUCGGUGGUGCCAGAGACGAACCAGUCUGCACACCUUCUCUCUGCAGGAGACGAUCCUUCCCGGUCGCAUCUGCUAUUUGCCCGAGAUAAUCCCGUCCCAGCCAUGUGAAUCUGUCCAGCGAUAGGCGGCUUUGUGUGGAGGCAAAGGAUCGAUGUAUAUUCAGUAGAUGCGAAAGUUGGGCAUUUUUAGGCCAGAUUAACGACUAGUGCUCCAGUAACGGGAUUUUCCAGUUUCCACAAAGUCACAUCCUCUGGCCGCCGGCGGACUCAUUGUUUGGCCAAAAGUAAAUCAGCCGGACACCUGAUCUGCGCACAAAGGAGCACCUCCAGAUUGAAAUCAAUUUGAUCUAGAAAACCAGAACUGAACUAACAGAAUUAAUUCCGGUGGUUACUUAGGCCAAGAUGCACGAGAAGGGGCCCCAGUUUUGGUUAAAGCUGCACUUCUACAUGCUUUUGCCAUCCACUGAACAACUAAGAAACUUCUAGCCGGACCUGAGGCUCACAUGGCAUGAUCUUGAUCGUUCAAGAGUCCUUCAAAAUGAGUGGAGACCUAGUAUCAUUCUGAUGGAAAAAUGGAUCGAUGUACUCUUUCUAUUUUUUACUAGUUUUUUGAGAAAUAUGUAAUCACUUUCAUGCCAAUCUUAUGUAACACCACAGCCUAAUCAUCAUUUGCAAUAUUCUGAAAUGUUGUAAGUGGUUUCUUUCUCUUUUUUGAGAAAUGUAAGUGCUUUCUUAUAGCGACUUGAUAGGAAGUUGUGGUAAUUCUCCCAAAAAAUAUCAUAAAUAUUGUAUUUCUGGUUUAUGGUAA
Long non-coding RNA from Sorghum bicolor (sorghum), 1048 nucleotides. RefSeq lists it as uncharacterized. The transcript is spliced from 4 exons. The record is from RefSeq and is a predicted model, not a curated record. Lineage: Eukaryota; Viridiplantae; Streptophyta; Magnoliopsida; Poales; Poaceae.